CCAACCUGGUCGGUGCAGCUCCCGGGAAGACGGUCCACGGGAUGCAGGGUCACAUCAGUGAAACAGGCUUCAACCUGGCUGUGACCGGACACAACACUUUCAACCUCCCCGGACAGACGAGACAUUUGAUUGACACGCUGAGAGGAUAUGAGGGUCUGAACUUCGAGGAGGACUGGAAGCUUCUGACCAUUCUCAUGGGCAUGAAUGAC
This is an RNA transcript of Hippoglossus stenolepis (Pacific halibut), 209 nucleotides long. RefSeq lists it as uncharacterized. Lineage: Eukaryota; Metazoa; Chordata; Actinopteri; Pleuronectiformes; Pleuronectidae. The record is from RefSeq and is a predicted model, not a curated record. The transcript has 3 exons.